This 497-nucleotide ribosomal RNA is filed under the name uncultured bacterium. Its description in RNAcentral is "partial 16S ribosomal RNA". It matches the Rfam family "Bacterial small subunit ribosomal RNA", at positions 28 to 507 of the family's 1533-position model. The record is from RNAcentral.
GAUGAACGCUGGCGGCGUGCCUAAUACAUGCAAGUCGAGCGAACGGACGAGAAGCUUGCUUCUCUGAUGUUAGCGGCGGACGGGUGAGUAACACGUGGAUAACCUACCUAUAAGACUGGGAUAACUUCGGGAAACCGGAGCUAAUACCGGAUAAUAUUUUGAACCGCAUGGUUCAAAAGUGAAAGACGGUCUUGCUGUCACUUAUAGAUGGAUCCGCGCUGCAUUAGCUAGUUGGUAAGGUAACGGCUUACCAAGGCAACGAUGCAUAGCCGACCUGAGAGGGUGAUCGGCCACACUGGAACUGAGACACGGUCCAGACUCCUACGGGAGGCAGCAGUAGGGAAUCUUCCGCAAUGGGCGAAAGCCUGACGGAGCAACGCCGCGUGAGUGAUGGAGGUCUUCGGACCGUAAAACUCUGUUAUUAGGGAAGAACAUAUGUGUAAGUAACUGUGCACAUCUUGACGGUACCUAAUCAGAAAGCCACGGCUAACUACGUG